This 67-nucleotide transfer RNA is filed under the name Pseudochauhanea macrorchis. RNAcentral's name for it is "tRNA-Glu". The record is from RNAcentral. Lineage: Eukaryota; Metazoa; Platyhelminthes; Monogenea; Mazocraeidea; Chauhaneidae.
CUUAGUUUAUUAUAUUAGGAGUAUAAUAGUUUUUCGUACUUUUGGAGCAAAUUAUUUGCAGCUAAGU